This 254-nucleotide ribosomal RNA is filed under the name uncultured bacterium. RNAcentral describes it as "partial 16S ribosomal RNA". It matches the Rfam family "Bacterial small subunit ribosomal RNA", at positions 524 to 776 of the family's 1533-position model. The record is from RNAcentral.
UACGAACCGUGCGAACGUUAUUCGGAAUCACUGGGCUUAAAGCGCGUGUAGGCGGGACGGCACGUCGGUCGCUGAAAGCCCCCGGCUCAACCGGGGAACGGGCGCCGAUACGACCGUCCUGGAGGGACGUAGGGGGACCUGGAACUUCCGGUGGAGCGGUGAAAUGCGUUGAGAUCGGAAGGAACGCCCGUGGCGAAAGCGAGGUCCUGGACGUUUUCUGACGCUGAGACGCGAAAGCCAGGGGAGCGAACGGG